Molecule: non-coding RNA, 547 nt
Organism: Podarcis lilfordi (Lilford's wall lizard)
Lineage: Eukaryota; Metazoa; Chordata; Lepidosauria; Squamata; Lacertidae
Source: the annotation of a GenBank genome assembly
AUUUGGUCAGUUUGGGAGUCAAAAUGGUUUCACGACGGUCUUCCUGUGCUGCUCCAGACAUGUGGUCCACAUAUCUAUAUAUGUGCUUGGUUGGUAAAUUUAUGAGAUAUAUAUAUAUAUAUAUAUAUAUAUAUAUAUAUAUAACCUUAAUUUUUUAUUAUUACACCCUUCUUGGUGUUUAGUUCACUGAGGAAGCUUCUCACCUCUCUCUCUUUCUCUCUCUCUCUCCCCCCCCCCCCCCCAGCUAGCUCGCUUUCUCCAGUUCUAGGGACCCCACCUUGAGAAGAUUAUUGCCAAGCUGGAAGGUGUGCAGCAGAGGAAAGCAAACGAGACGAUCGAGGGCUUGGAAAACAAGAUUUGCUAAGAAUGGUUGAAGGCGCUGGGUACGUGGAAAAGAGGAGACUGAGAGGAGAUAGGAGAGCCAAUAUCUCAAGGGAAGAUGGAGCAAGCUUGUUUUCUGUUGCUUCCGACUGCAGGAACCAAACCAACGGAUUCAAAUUAUGGGAAAGGAGAGUCUGAUACAACAUCAGGAAGAACUUUCUGAUGG